RNAcentral lists this long non-coding RNA (348 nucleotides) under Salvia miltiorrhiza (redroot sage). RNAcentral's name for it is "long non-coding RNA (SMIL_LNC004317)". Lineage: Eukaryota; Viridiplantae; Streptophyta; Magnoliopsida; Lamiales; Lamiaceae. The record is from RNAcentral.
ACAAAAUCAUCAACCAAAGGAUCAAUCACAGUCAUGAAAAUAGAUUCAGGAUCCUCUUCGGUUUCUGUUUCUGCCUCUGAAUCAGGAUCCGUUUGGGCAAACAGAUCAUCUUCCGCAGUAGAGGCACUGAGAUCAGCCAUGAAAAAAGGUUCCGUCCGGGCAGACAGAGCAAUCUCCGAAUCCAACAGACCUUGCAGCUUCCUUUCCUUAACCUGGAGUUUUUUUUUUUUUUAAAUCCUGCUCAAAAACAACAGAAAAAAAAUAAAAUAAAAUAGAAUCAAUAGGAAAAAGAAAUUAAUUAACACCGUUCCCCGGCAACGGCGCCAAUUUGGUGGACGUCGUAUUCCA